This 451-nucleotide long non-coding RNA is filed under the name Chloebia gouldiae (Gouldian finch). RNAcentral's name for it is "Erythrura gouldiae (Gouldian finch) lncRNA (ENSEGOG00005001951.1)". The record is from RNAcentral. Lineage: Eukaryota; Metazoa; Chordata; Aves; Passeriformes; Passeridae.
GCGGACGGAGGGAGCGGGAGGGGAAAGCGUCGCUGCGGCUGCGAGGAGCGAAGUAGGGGCAGAAAGUUGUCCGCUGGCAGCCGGGCGCGCCGCGGAGACAAAGUGCUCGGGGCUGCUCCGCACCCGCGGACAGAUUGCCAGUGCUACAAAAAUAGGGACUUCCAGCAAGAAGUUCUUCAGCUUUUGAAGCCACAAGGACACCUCAGCCCCUUUCUGUGCUUUCACUUAUGAUGUGGAGGGAAACAAGACAUUUGGAGAGCAAAUAAGUUAUGCAAGGGGAAGCUGAUCAAGAGAUCUCAAGAGUUGCAGCUUCCUGGGAUUGUCUGUCAGAGGAACGAAGAGCAAAAGAAUAACUUUCCAUCAUGAAGUAUGUGCUACUAUAUUUUCAAGUGUCCUUAAAAGACUUUUCUUUGGACAUAAUCGAGUGGAUUCAGUGUCCCAAGAGGUCAGA